This 84-nucleotide transfer RNA is filed under the name Variovorax sp. OV329. It matches the Rfam family "tRNA". From Rfam's summary of the family: Transfer RNA (tRNA) molecules are approximately 80 nucleotides in length. The record is from Rfam by way of RNAcentral. Lineage: Bacteria; Pseudomonadati; Pseudomonadota; Betaproteobacteria; Burkholderiales; Comamonadaceae.
GCGCGGGUGGCGAAAUUGGUAGACGCACCAGGUUUAGGUCCUGACGCUCGCAAGAGCGUGCCGGUUCGAGUCCGGCCCCGCGCA